Molecule: ribosomal RNA, 199 nt
Filed under: uncultured bacterium
Lineage: Bacteria
Description: partial 16S ribosomal RNA
Rfam family: Bacterial small subunit ribosomal RNA
Source: RNAcentral
ACUCCUACGGGAGGCAGCAGUGGGGAAUAUUGGACAAUGGGGGCAACCCUGAUCCAGCCAUGCCGCGUGUGUGAAGAAGGCCUUUUGGUUGUAAAGCACUUUAAGCAGGGAGGAGAGGCUAAUGGUUAAUACCCAUUAGAUUAGACGUUACCUGCAGAAUAAGCACCGGCUAACUCUGUGCCAGCAGCCGCGGUAAUAC